AGAAAUUGGAAAAUACAAAUUGAAGUUUCAGACAAAUUUGCUGGAUAUUUUGACAGCUGUAGUAUGGAUAAUACCAAGUCUGACAUGGUUGUUGUCGGUGAAAUAAAAUGUUCAGAAAUGAGAUGUGCUACUAGCUGUGGAAUGUCAAAGACUUGUAUGGGUUAUAAUUUCAACAGCGCCAUGAACAGAUGUGAACUUCUCUGGUUUGGAUCAGACGUUGUGACAGACAUACCACAUCACACUGAAGCCGGAUGGAAAUUCUACUGUAAAUGUUUCAAUGGGAAAACUGCCUGUCUUGGGUGUUAUUUCUAGAUGACUAAUUCAGAAGAAAACAGUCCUUGAUAAAGAUAUCAUUUGAAAUUAUUUUUUUUAAUUCUUUGCAUAAACUUAGUGAUUUAUUAUUGGAAUUUUAAAGACAGAUGUAAAUUAGCGAUGAUCUAAUAUAGUGAAUCCAUUUAGAAAAAAAACAAAACAAUAAAAUUAAUUUUACAUGCAACUUUAAAAAUCGAGAUCGGGUGGUCAGAGAAGGUAAGCGGCUCCAGGUACUGUUUUCCCUCAAAUCCUUCCUGCAAAAUAUUUAACGUCAAAGGCAUAACCCUUUCAGUGAAACCCGCAUGAUGUAAAUAUGUAUGCUCGUAUCGAAUUACAAUUGAGAUACGUCAAUAUCACACGAUGGAGUGGAGUGUUUCUGCUGGGGAAUGGGAAGUUAACAGUGGGUAAGGUGAAAUUAUCACAAUGUCACAGCUCUAUUUUGAAGUAUUCCUUCUGUGUCAAUAUUGAGAAAAAAAGAUCAAAACCUUUUUAUCUAAGUAGUAUCAUUAGUUUUAACUUCACUUGGAUUUAUGAGAUGCAAUAACAAAUUGUUAUGUCGGUAAUUGAGUGACAGGAUAUAUUCAAUAUAUCUUUAAGUGAUAUGUAAAGAACUUACAAGGUUUUGUUUUCUUCCUUUCAUUUUUUGUAUUAAUAUAUCUUAAAGACUGGGACUUCUCUUAAACUUAGUUUUAAUGUGCGUAUUGUUGUGCGGUUUUUUUAUAUAUUGGCUAGAGGUAUUGGGGAGGGUUGAGAUCUCAAACAAUAUGUUUAACCCCGCCGUAAUUUUGCGCCUGUCCCAAGCCAGGAGCCUCUGGCCUUUGUUAGUCUUGUAUGAUUUUUAAUUUAAGUUUCUUGUGUAUAAUUCGGAGUUUAGUAUGACGUCCAUUAUCACUUAACUAGUGUACAUAUUUGUUUAGGGGGCAGCUGAAGGACGCCUCCGGGUGCGGGAGUUUGGAAAUUAUUAUGAAACUAAGGUUUCAACUCCCUCAGGCAAAGUUGGCUUUAGAUGAAUUUGGCUAUUUAUUUUAGGUAUUUUUGACAUAUAUCUCUUCAACGAUUGAGAGCCUUCUAUGGUCGGGUUGUUGUCACUUUGACACAUUCCACAUCUCCAUUCUCAAUUUUAAUUCUACUAUAUGUAACUACAACCAGUAGGCGUGAACUCUAAGUAACCUUUUUUAUACAGGUUUUUGGUUGAAUAUCAAUCACCCAACAACACAUAUAUGUUAUCAAUUAUAACGUCGAACUUUAGGGAUCAGUUUUGAUAUUUAACAUGUUUAACAAUAAUAAUAACCCAAGUUUUAUAUUUUCGAUUUCUUUUUCAAACAGUAAAGUAGUAAAAAGUGUAGAUUCAACUGCUCUUUUAUGGUUACAAAAGUUAUCAAGACAAAAUUCAUAUACAUUUUUAGU
This is a long non-coding RNA of Mytilus trossulus (common blue mussel), 1719 nucleotides long. RefSeq lists it as uncharacterized. NCBI's taxonomy places the organism in Eukaryota, Metazoa, Mollusca, Bivalvia, Mytilida, Mytilidae. The record is from RefSeq and is a predicted model, not a curated record. The transcript has 3 exons.